RNAcentral lists this transfer RNA (77 nucleotides) under Clostridiales bacterium. RNAcentral's name for it is "tRNA-Arg". It matches the Rfam family "tRNA". Rfam says of the family: Transfer RNA (tRNA) molecules are approximately 80 nucleotides in length. The record is from RNAcentral. RNAcentral also lists the same sequence under 1 other name. Lineage: Bacteria; Bacillati; Bacillota; Clostridia; Eubacteriales.
GUGCCCGUAGCUCAGUUGGAUAGAGCACCAGCCUCCGACGCUGGGUGUCGCCGGUUCGAAUCCGGCCGGGCAUGCCA